UACGAAGGGGGCUAGCGUUGCUCGGAAUCACUGGGCGUAAAGGGUGCGUAGGCGGCUAUCUAAGUCAGUGGUGAAAUCCUGCAGCUUAACUGUAGAACCGCCAUUGAUACUGGAUGGCUUGAGUACAGACGAGGUAGGCGGAGUUUAUGGUGUAGCGGUGAAAUGCAUAGAUACCAUAAAGAACACCGAUUGCGAAGGCAGCUUACUAGGCUGUAACUGACGCUGAGGCACGAAAGCGUGGGGAUCAAACAGG
This 253-nucleotide ribosomal RNA is filed under the name uncultured bacterium. RNAcentral describes it as "partial 16S ribosomal RNA". It matches the Rfam family "Bacterial small subunit ribosomal RNA", at positions 524 to 776 of the family's 1533-position model. The record is from RNAcentral.